Molecule: long non-coding RNA, 517 nt
Organism: Numida meleagris (helmeted guineafowl)
Lineage: Eukaryota; Metazoa; Chordata; Aves; Galliformes; Numididae
Exons: 3
Source: RefSeq, a predicted model, not a curated record
UUGCUGGUGCUCCUUGCCUACUGGAGGCUGUUUGAAGCUUUAGGUCAUUCAGUGCAUACUUUGUUACUGAUGUCAAUGGAAGAAAUUAAUCCAUGUUUCUCCAGCCAUAGGUGCCAAGUUCUACUGCUAUUACACUGGCUAGAUGGCUCUGAAGCACAGGCAUCAACUGACAAGGGAGCUCUGGGCCUGAGGAGAUGAUGUGGAAGUUGCACCAUCUGAAUCAGUCUCAGGCAGGACUUGGUGGCACAGUGAAGCAAAAAUGCUCAGUGAAAUCAGUCAGCAAACUAGCAGUUUUCAUUACCAUGAGGCUGGUUAUUACUGUUGUCACAGCUUCGAUUGAAUGACUUUAACUUUUAAACUAAAAUAGGAAAAUAAGUCGGAAAUGCACCAAGAUGAAGAAUUUAUUGAUGUAUUCUGGUUGGGCUUUCAUUAUGUUUUAAUGUUUUAAUUUUGUGGAUAAACAAUUUAAUUUGUACAGUGAUAAACUGAAAGGUAAUUUCUGAAUAAAACUGAAUUU